GACGGGACCGCACAAGCGGUGGAUGAUGUGGUUUAAUUCGAUGCAACGCGAAAACCUUACCCACCUUUGACAUGGCAGGAAUCCCGAAGAGAUUUGGGAGUGCUCGAAAGAGAACCUGCACACAGGUGCUGCAUGGCUGUCGUCAGCUCGUGUCGUGAGAUGUUGGGUUAAGUCCCGCAACGAGCGCAACCCUUGUCAUUAGUUGCUACAUUUGGUUGGGCACUCUAAUGAGACUGCCGGUGACAAGCCGGAGGAAGGUGGGGAUGACGUCAAGUCCUCAUGGCCCUUAUAGGUGGGGCUACACACGUCAUACAAUGGCUGGUACAAAGGGUUGCCAACCCGCGAGGGGGAGCUAAUCCCACAAAGCCGAUCGUAGUCCGGAUCGCAGUCUGCAACUCGACUGCGUGAAGUCGGAAUCGCUAGUAAUCGUGGAUCAGCAUGUCACGGUGAAUACGUUCCCGGGUCUU
This 467-nucleotide ribosomal RNA is filed under the name uncultured Giesbergeria sp. RNAcentral describes it as "bacterial SSU rRNA". It matches the Rfam family "Bacterial small subunit ribosomal RNA", at positions 917 to 1381 of the family's 1533-position model. The record is from RNAcentral. Lineage: Bacteria; Pseudomonadati; Pseudomonadota; Betaproteobacteria; Burkholderiales; Comamonadaceae.